UACGGAAGGCAGCAGUGGGGAAUAUUGCACAAUGGGCGAAAGCCUGAUGCAGCUAUGCCGCGUGUAUGAAGAAGGCCUUAGGGUUGUAAAGUACUUUCAUCGGGGAGGAAAAAACAAAACUAAUAAUUUUAUUUCUUGACGUUACCCGAAAAAGAAGCACCGGCUAACUCCGUGCCAGCAGCCGCGGUAAUACGGAGGGUGCUAGCGUUAAUCAGAAUUACUGGGCGUAAAGAGCACGUAGGUGGUUUUUUAAGUCAGAUGUGAAAUCCCUGGGCUUUAACCUAGGAACUGCAUUUUGAAACUGAAAUACUAGAGUAUCGUAGAGGGAGGUAGAAUUCUAGGUGUAGCGGUGAAAUGCGUAGAUAUCUGGAGGAAUACCUGUGGCGAAAGCGGCCUCCUAAACGAAUACUGACACUGAGGGUGCGAAAGCGUGGGGAGCAAACAGGGAUUAGAUACC
This 457-nucleotide ribosomal RNA is filed under the name uncultured bacterium. Its description in RNAcentral is "bacterial SSU rRNA". It matches the Rfam family "Bacterial small subunit ribosomal RNA", at positions 340 to 786 of the family's 1533-position model. The record is from RNAcentral.